UUGCUCCCACCUGUUCAGAAAGGAAUGUUGAAUAAUACUGUCAGCAGAUCAACUAUGUUAAUACUUGGGAUGUUCUGAAGACUUGAUACACAGUCCUUCCAGUGGCACAUAAGACAACUGACGACAGCAGCAGCACAGUUGGGCAUGAAGGUUUUAUGCCUAUGUCUGUUCAGAAAUGCCCUUUCAGUUAUGUACUCCCAUAAACUGAAUCAGCAUAUAAAUCUGCACGCUAUGCAAUAGAUGUAUAUGUAGCGGAGGCGCUGGGAUCCA
RNAcentral lists this long non-coding RNA (270 nucleotides) under Gallus gallus (chicken). Its description in RNAcentral is "long non-coding RNA NONGGAT007993". Lineage: Eukaryota; Metazoa; Chordata; Aves; Galliformes; Phasianidae. The record is from RNAcentral.